This 707-nucleotide ribosomal RNA is filed under the name uncultured Enterobacterales bacterium. RNAcentral's name for it is "bacterial SSU rRNA". It matches the Rfam family "Bacterial small subunit ribosomal RNA", at positions 62 to 758 of the family's 1533-position model. Lineage: Bacteria; Pseudomonadati; Pseudomonadota; Gammaproteobacteria; Enterobacterales. The record is from RNAcentral.
UCGAACGGUAACAGGAAGCAGCUUGCUGCUUCGCUGACGAGUGGCGGACGGGUGAGUAAUGUCUGGGAAACUGCCUGAUGGAGGGGGAUAACUACUGGAAACGGUAGCUAAUACCGCAUAACGUCGCAAGACCAAAGAGGGGGACCUUCGGGCCUCUUGCCAUCGGAUGUGCCCAGAUGGGAUUAGCUAGUAUGUGGGGUAACGGCUCACCUAGGCGACGAUCCCUAGCUGGUCUGAGAGGAUGACCAGCCACGCUGGAACUGAGACACGGUCCAGACUCCUACGGGAGGCAGCAGUGGGGAAUAUUGCACAAUGGGCGCAAGCCUGAUGCAGCCAUGCCGCGUGUAUGAAGAAGGCCUUCGGGUUGUAAAGUACUUUCAGCGGGGAGGAAGGCGACAGGGUUAAUAACCCUGUCGAUUGACGUUACCCGCAGAAGAAGCACCGGCUAACUCCGUGCCAGCAGCCGCGGUAAUACGGAGGGUGCAAGCGUUAAUCGGAAUUACUGGGCGUAAAGCGCACGCAGGCGGUCUGUCAAGUCGGAUGUGAAAUCCCCGGGCUCAACCUGGGAACUGCAUUCGAAACUGGCAGGCUAGAGUCUUGUAGAGGGGGGUAGAAUUCCAGGUGUAGCGGUGAAAUGCGUAGAGAUCUGGAGGAAUACCGGUGGCGAAGGCGGCCCCCUGGACAAAGACUGACGCUCAGGUGCGAAA